This is a long non-coding RNA of Etheostoma cragini (Arkansas darter), 145 nucleotides long. RefSeq lists it as uncharacterized. Lineage: Eukaryota; Metazoa; Chordata; Actinopteri; Perciformes; Percidae. The transcript is spliced from 3 exons. The record is from RefSeq and is a predicted model, not a curated record.
AACACUUCGGAAUUCAUCCUGCUGCUUUUGUCAGCAGUCACAUCAUCAAUAAAUACAAGAGAACCAGUUCCAUUGGCAGCCAUACAUGCCCACGCCAUGACACUACCACCACCAUGCUUCACUGAGGAGUUCAUUGACUGGUUGA